Molecule: unclassified non-coding RNA, 430 nt
Filed under: soil metagenome
Description: partial contains 5.8S ribosomal RNA, internal transcribed spacer 2, and large subunit ribosomal RNA
Rfam family: 5.8S ribosomal RNA (bases 1-120)
Source: RNAcentral
GAUGAAGAACGUAGCGAAAUGCGAUACGUAAUGUGAAUUGCAGAAUUCAGUGAAUCAUCGAAUCUUUGAACGCAUAUUGCGCUCUCUGGUAUUCCGGAGAGCAUGCUUGUUUGAGUAUCAGUAAACACCUCAACUCUUUUUUCUUUUUUGAAAUUGGAGCUGGACUUGAGUGAUCCCAACGCUUUCUUCCAAGAAAGUGGCGGGUUGCUUGAAAUGCAGGUGCAGCUGAACUUUUCUCUGAGCGAUAGGCAUAUCUAUUUAGUCUGCCUAAAAAACAGAUUAUUACCUUUGCUGCAGCUAACAUAAAGGAGACUAGUUCUUGUGCUGACUGAUGCAGGAUUCACAGAGACAGCUUCGGCUGACUUUGUAAACUCGAUCUCAAAUCAAGUAAGACUACCCGCUGAACUUAAGCAUAUCAAUAAGCGGAGGA